UGUCUACAUCCGGCUUUACCUAAACCCCACCCAGGUUGCUUUACGUAGCAGUGAAAAACCGGUAUUUUCUAUCGGUGAAUCACACUC
Molecule: small RNA, 87 nt
Filed under: Octodon degus (degu)
Lineage: Eukaryota; Metazoa; Chordata; Mammalia; Rodentia; Octodontidae
Description: sRNA (ENSODEG00000023836.1)
Source: RNAcentral